Long non-coding RNA from Hippocampus comes (tiger tail seahorse), 81 nucleotides. RefSeq lists it as uncharacterized. The transcript has 3 exons. NCBI's taxonomy places the organism in Eukaryota, Metazoa, Chordata, Actinopteri, Syngnathiformes, Syngnathidae. The record is from RefSeq and is a predicted model, not a curated record.
UAUAAGUUUUUAUUUUCUCUUUACCAACAGUGGCGGACCCUUAGGGCCAGCAAGGCCUUCUCUGCUGGCCUAAACAUUCUC